GAGAAGGGCUGAUAACCAAGACAACGACACAAAGAUGGCGACAGAUUCCACUGCGGGACGCCAACAGGAGUCCAGAUUAACAGAUCGUCCUGCGGAGUACCAGAACCGUGUCCGUUACAACGGGACGACGACCGGCCUGACACCACGACACGACCACCACCGACCCAUCAUCGCCACGAGACACCUGUUUGAACCCUCUCUCUCCCUGUCUCUCUCCCUGUCUCUCUCCCUGUCUCUCAAACUCCCCUCUCUCCCUCCCCUCCUCUCUCUCCCCUCUCUCCCUCCCCUUUCUCCCUCCCCCUCCUCUCCCCCCUCUCUCUCCUCCCUCCCCAAUAGACACACCUGUUUGAACCCUCUCUCUCUCGCUCUCUCUCUCCCCAGGGUGGUAUGGAGAGAGGACCUAGCAGCAGCCAGGUGUGGAACCCCUCCUCUGUUUUCUGUAUGGACAGAGCAGAGCCCCCCCUGCUGACCUGGUGGUCCACCUGCAGGUCUGGGAUGGGGAGAGGGGGGAAACCCCAGUCCACUGGAGAGGAGUGGCACACCAUACAGGACGCUUGGGUGCAGCUGUUUCAAGGUCGAUGCCUGACUUACUGACUACAGGCGUGUGACUGACAGCUCGGCUGUCGGCGGCAUGCU
This 636-nucleotide long non-coding RNA is filed under the name Salmo salar (Atlantic salmon). Its description in RNAcentral is "lncRNA (ENSSSAG00000095099.1, ENSSSAG00000109752.1)". Lineage: Eukaryota; Metazoa; Chordata; Actinopteri; Salmoniformes; Salmonidae. The record is from RNAcentral.